MicroRNA precursor from Laticauda laticaudata (blue-ringed sea krait), 88 nucleotides. Ensembl annotates it as microRNA 92a-1. Lineage: Eukaryota; Metazoa; Chordata; Lepidosauria; Squamata; Elapidae. The record is from Ensembl.
ACCCCUUUCUACACAGGUUGGGAUCGGUUGCAAUGCUGUGUUAAAUCAGUGGUAUUGCACUUGUCCCGGCCUGUUGAGGUUGGUGGGG